RNAcentral lists this ribosomal RNA (442 nucleotides) under uncultured bacterium. RNAcentral describes it as "partial 16S ribosomal RNA". It matches the Rfam family "Bacterial small subunit ribosomal RNA", at positions 339 to 795 of the family's 1533-position model. The record is from RNAcentral.
CUACGGGUCGCUCCAGUCGAGAAUCAUCCGCAAUGGGCGAAAGCCUGACGGUGCAAUGCCGCGUGGGGGAUGAAGGCCCUCGGGUCGUAAACCCCUGUCAGGAGGGACGAAGAAGUGACGGUACCUCCAGAGGAAGCCACGGCUAACUACGUGCGCAGCAGCCGCGGGAAUACGGUAGGUGGCGAGCGUUAUUCGGUUUACUGGGCGUAAAGGGUCCGCAGGGGGUGUGCCAAGUCUGGUGUGAAAUCUCACAGCUCAACUGUGAAACUGCGCUGGAUACUGGUGAACUAGAGUGCGCGAGGGGUGAGUGGAAUUCCUGGUGUAGCGGUGGAAUGCGUAGAUAUCAGGAAGAACACCAACGGCGAAGGCAGCUCACUGGCGCGCAACUGACCCUCAUGGACGAAAGCGUGGGUAGCAAACAGGAUUAGAUACCCGUGUAGUC